This 253-nucleotide ribosomal RNA is filed under the name uncultured bacterium. RNAcentral describes it as "partial 16S ribosomal RNA". It matches the Rfam family "Bacterial small subunit ribosomal RNA", at positions 524 to 776 of the family's 1533-position model. The record is from RNAcentral.
CACGUAAGUGGCGAGCGUUGUUCGGAUUUAUUGGGCGUAAAGGGCGUGUAGGCGGCGUAUGAAGCUUGGUGUGAAAUCUUCCGGCUUAACCGGAAAUUCGCGCUGAGAACUGAUAUGCUAGAGUUUAAGAGGGGGAGUUAGAAUUCCAGGUGUAGGGGUGAAAUCUGUAGAUAUCUGGAAGAAUACCGGUGGCGAAGGCGAACUCCUGGCAAUAAACUGACGCUGAGGCGCGAAAGCGUGGGUAGCAAACAGG